GUUCAGUUCGUCCAAUCAGAAACUGUGAUGUCACUCAGCCACUGUCCUCCAGUGCACAUGGCCUUCCGGUCUCGACGAAAAAGGUGAAAUUUUUUUAUUGGUUUUUAAGGCAAGGUAGUGUUUUUGAGCGUACCAGGAGGAAGGUGGAGAACCGGUAACAGGAAGAGUGCUACGUGAGGAGCUGCUGUUGACUGUUCUCACAGAUACUGAUGGAUCUUCUUUACUUUUUGUUUGAAGCAGCCUGUGCCACAGUACAGUUCAGAAGUCGAAGACACCUCCAGCCUGAACAGCAGAUCCUCUACUCUACAUGUCCACUCUGCCAAAGCGUGUGUGGUCUUCAUCAGUCAUUACGAUGCAGCUUUGCCCCUUACUGUUGAUUGACAGAAGUAUAACACAAGAUGUUCCAAAGGGAUGCCAAUUUUGCAAAGAGAGCUUGAGAAUUUUUCCCCAGGCUAUCUUUGGUCGCAAGACCGUAACAAUGGCCAUCUUUGAACCUCUCUCACAGUGCGACGUAGGACCACCAUUUUGGAGCCAUGACCAAAGAUAUCGCCAUGUUUCUUUCACAUUGGUCAUCUUCUGUCUGGGAUAGCCCAAAAUCGCACAGUGUAUACUACUGUUAAAGAGUUUAAGUGUCUAAUUAUUCCUUUUAUCACAGUGCAAGCCAGUGAUGAUCACCAAUCCAUCUGUUCUCAAUUGGAGGAGGAGUAGAUGCAGGGUAACAGGACUGUGGAGCCAUUCAUUGCUUCAAUUGAGGACACUCUCCCUGUAGACACCACCAGUCCACCAACACUCCAUGGACCUGGACAGAGGAAGAGAGAGAAAGAGAUAUUGUCCAGCUAGGACUGCUGUAAAAGAUGAUGCUGCUAGAAAUCCUUCCUCUCAUUCAGAGCCAAACAGCAGUUCUAGCAGUUCUAUCAGACCAGUUGACUUCCCCCAACCACCCAUGACUUUUGUACAGUCCCAUUAUAAUAGUACACUGCCAGUGAUUGUAGAUAGGGGUCCUGCAGAGGGGAAAUGUGGAAAAUAUGUUGAUGACGGUAGAUGUCAUAGAGACUAUAACCCCAGGACCUCAAUGAGUAAUUGUCUUCCAAUGGUUCUUAUAAUGAAUUUUUAGAAUGUGUUUUCGCUCUAUACAUAUACUUUUAGCUCUAUACAUAUAAUGUACCUCUUUAUACUUUUUUUAUACUAACAAUAAAGUUGUUCUUCAUACUGUGCUGUUUGCUACAUAUGAUCUUUGUAAGUAUUUACAGCAUUCCAUAACUCAUAAGUCACCAAUGUAGUAGUACAUUUAUAGUACUACUAUAAAUGUACUACUACCUUUAUAGUAGUACUAUAAAUGUAGUAGUACUACAUUUAUAGUACUACUAUAAAUGUAGUACCCUCAAUACUAGAAACACUAGUGCUUGCCUUCUACUGGUUUUGGCUUGAAUACCUCAAAAACCUGAGUACAGAUUCAGACUUGAUUUAGACUUGUUUUCCACUUCCCUACUCAUUUUAAAAAGAUGAAAGAAAAACACAAAGUGUGAGCGAGAGAGAGAGAGACCAGCGGUGGUCGAGUGAACUAGAGAGUGAAUGAAGAGAGGGAGCGGCCCUGGCGAGAACAAAGGAGUGAAUCUGAGAAAUAAAAUGUUAUUUUCUGAUUGUUUCACAGUGGUGACAUUCUAUUGCACAA
Long non-coding RNA from Thunnus maccoyii (southern bluefin tuna), 1672 nucleotides. RefSeq lists it as uncharacterized. The transcript has 7 exons. NCBI's taxonomy places the organism in Eukaryota, Metazoa, Chordata, Actinopteri, Scombriformes, Scombridae. The record is from RefSeq and is a predicted model, not a curated record.